GAAGAGAGAAGAAGAAGACAGAAAGAAGAAGAAGAAGAAGAAGAAGCAUGCUUAACUCACCAGGGUUUUUUGGACUCGUCACUGCAUCACUGACAACAUCCAUUUAUUUCCUACAGACAAGCUAAUAAAGAUGCCUACUCAAAAAGUGUGCCAGACUUGCAAACACAAAAUAGGAGUAGCCAGCAGGCAAUGUGGUGCCAACCAACCCUACAAGGAGAAACUAUCCAAGCAAAAGGAAAAGGUUGCACAGGAGUGGAAGGCCACGCAACAAAAAAACCACAGUGUCAACAAAGUUUAUGACUCAACAAAUCUACUGCUCCACAAAUGGAAACUUCUUGAGCGGCAUCCCAUCCUCCUUCUUGCCAAGAGAGGCACAAAUGGUUUUGCGGUCGAUUGCCUCUGUCCAUGGCAAAUUGAGACAGAAGAUGGUAACAAUGCACUUGUUACCAUGAAGAUGAUUUACGAAAGCCUUCUUAAUGUGACUUUGGCAGUUGAACCACAGGCAUAAAUGGCCACAGACCCAGGAUCAGAUUCCUUGUCUGUACCUCUCUCCUCCGGCCUGACUCCUGCUCUCUCCUCCGGCCUGACUCCUCCUCUCUCCUCCGGCCUGACUCCUGCUCUCUCCUCCAGCCUGACUCAAUUAGAAUACGCCACCUUUUGUUUUGUUUAAGACUUUGCAGUAUCAAAAGUCUCAGUGCCAUUUUGAAUAGUUUAAUUGAGCACAAUGUGAUGUUAGGCAAUGUUUAGGGGGUUAUUGCUGAACUUCAACCUAUUACCAUCUUUUAAUUCCUUGCAGAAUGUCCCAUUCAUCAAGGGUCAGCCACUUUCCCCUACAAAAAACUACUGAGGGAAAGAAUCAGGGAGGUUUGUUUAGAAAAUAUUUUAAAAUAAGAAAUAAACUGACAAUAAUGCUUCCGUGGAACCAAGUCUUAUCUUAUCUUAUUGGAUUUUCGUAUACUUUGUUUAAAAGGAGUGUUUCAGUCUUAAGCAUGACUGCUAAUCUAAAUAUUGAAAUUACAGUAACAAUAAAUUAUUAUUAAUUUAAGGUUGAGGUACUUGUGUAAUGCUUCAUGUCGCAUUAAUGCAUCAUGUCCAGCCAUUUAUUUGUAUAUUACAUGUUUUCUUGUAAUCAUUUGUAGGUGAAUUCUUGGCAGUGAAAAUAUCUUUUUAAAUAAUAAUAGUAUUCCAAAAUAUUAAACUGAUGGGGAAAAUGCUAUUGACUAUGUUACAGUCCUUCAUAUGUUUGAGUUAAUCGUACCUACUAUUAUUUCAAAUUAUCAUUUGAUUUCUCUGGACUUUUCGUAUUUACAUAUAUGACAUUUGAAAAAAAAAAAAGUUUACCUAAAAUCUGUCUUUCUUUACUCAGGGCCAUGCCGAGGUGUUGGUGCAGUGGCAGUCUUGCUCUGGAUGUGGGGCGAAGUGGAAACAUUCCUGGGAGCCAAAGGAAAACUUUCCUAAUUAAAUAUGCCUGACUUUUGUUUUUCUACAUUGGAGUAAUAAAAUACAUAUUUAAAAAAACA
This is a long non-coding RNA of Gymnodraco acuticeps, 1520 nucleotides long. RefSeq lists it as uncharacterized. The record is from RefSeq and is a predicted model, not a curated record. The transcript is spliced from 5 exons. NCBI's taxonomy places the organism in Eukaryota, Metazoa, Chordata, Actinopteri, Perciformes, Bathydraconidae.